UAUCGGAGAUAGGACUUGAUACC
This 23-nucleotide microRNA is filed under the name Macacine gammaherpesvirus 4 (Rhesus lymphocryptovirus). Its description in RNAcentral is "rlcv-miR-rL1-24-3p". Its record names the gene rlcv-miR-rL1-24-3p. The record is from miRBase by way of RNAcentral. Lineage: Duplodnaviria; Heunggongvirae; Peploviricota; Herviviricetes; Herpesvirales; Orthoherpesviridae.